GAAGCUCAAACAGCAGCAUCAGCACAGAUCUCAGAGCUGCGUCAAUGUUUCCUCUUUUCUGCUCAGAUUCAGAAAAUCACACAUCCAGAAAACUGCUGGAGCCUCAGAAAUCACAGAGCAGCAGAAAACAAGAAGACAGAGAGAGAAAUGGAGACACAAACCAGUGGAUCACAAGAGAGAAGAGGAGAGACACGUGAUAGAUGCCACAGUAUGGAGAUAAUGAAGCCAAUCUUCUCAGAUGAUCCUGUAAAGAUUGAUUCUGAUGUCAAAACUGAGGAGAGAUUCUCUCAUCAAAACCUUCAUCAUGAUCUCAAGAACACACAACAUCACUGAUGAAGAGCUGAACAUCAUCAUCAUCAUCAUCCUCAUUGUCACAGACUCCAUCCCUUUCCUGGAUUCUGGAAGAUUUUACACACUAAAUGACAAACAACCAGACUGAGGGACCAUUUACACGACACCAUUUUCAACACUUUUUUAAUGCAUUUUGGCUGUUCAUUUACUUGGCAACAUUUUGUAUGCAUGAAAACAAAACCUUUCAAACAGGUUUCAAUGUGCAAGUUUUUGAAAACAAUACAAUUAUCGUUUCUGUGUAAACUAAAACAUGAAUUUGUAAAUCAAUUUAAUAAAGGAUGUUUUAAUAAAAAGUUCGGGAGCAACAUGUUCAAAUGAGAAGCUGGCAGAAAGGGAAAGACUGCUGACUGGUGGAACGUGCGUUGGAGAGCUGAAGUUUAUAUGGUUUAUGCCCUGUGUUAUAUUGAGAGCUGUUAGCGUGACUUUCUGUUUGAUUGAGGAGAAUUUAAAUAAAAGCCACCAGCAGCAGUUAAGCCGACCCCGUCCUCUUCUUUCCUAUUAUAGAACAUUGUUACAGUCAUGAUUUCUUCUGUUAAAUCAUUGUGCAACAAAACACUGUCAACACUAAACUUAAAUAUGACAAAUGCAUGUAUUGUGCUUAAUUGAAAUGAUGUGCCUGAAUGAGACAGAAGAUAACCCAUCUGCUAGAUAUAAAUGAGGUUAAAUGAACAUCAGUGGAGACUUCUGCUUGAGUCUCCUGCUUCUCACUCUUGUCUCCUGAGACAAAAACACUAACACUCUCACAAUGGUCUGUAAUAAAGUUUUAGAAGAGAUCUCAAUAACAUCACA
Molecule: long non-coding RNA, 1140 nt
Organism: Megalobrama amblycephala (Wuchang bream)
Lineage: Eukaryota; Metazoa; Chordata; Actinopteri; Cypriniformes; Xenocyprididae
Exons: 3
Source: RefSeq, a predicted model, not a curated record